This 517-nucleotide long non-coding RNA is filed under the name Androctonus crassicauda. The record is from RNAcentral. Lineage: Eukaryota; Metazoa; Arthropoda; Arachnida; Scorpiones; Buthidae.
AAUAUUACUCUUUCUAUUUGUUUCUGUUUCAUCUUUCCUUUUUUCUUUGUCCAAUGGCUACACAUCUUGAACAGGUUUCAUUUGAACACAUUUUAUAUUUUAUCUGGUUAGGUUAGUAGUAGUAAGUUAAGUUGCUUUAUCAUACAUGGGAAAUCGUAUAUCACUUUUAAGGUUGAGGGAUAGGUGUCAACAGACUGAGCCUGAACCCUUCUGAAAACAUGAAAAAACAUGAGGUAUGGGUUUGGGAUAUGAACCUGGAUUCUGCAAAGUGAUAGGAGACUACUUUAUUAAUUGUAACCAUUUGCCCAACAUUUUAAUUUAUGGAAUCUAUAAUGCUGUUAUUUGGUUUGGCUUUAAAUCUUCAGCAUGGCAGCUAGUAGAAAAGAUAUUUGCAUCAUUACAUCUUUUAUUCUUUACAGAAUAUUAUGAGAAUUUUUUAUAUAGUAUCAGCACAGUGCAUUAUUCAAUUACUACUCUCAACAUGAAGAGUACUAUACAUAAUGCAAUUACCACUUGC